CCGCGAGUGACGUAAUCGGGUAGCCGUAAAAGACUUAAAAUCUUUUGACCAUAGGUCGUGUGGGUUCGAGUCCCACCUCGCGGA
Molecule: transfer RNA, 84 nt
Filed under: Caudoviricetes sp.
Lineage: Duplodnaviria; Heunggongvirae; Uroviricota; Caudoviricetes
Description: tRNA-Leu
Rfam family: tRNA
About the family: Transfer RNA (tRNA) molecules are approximately 80 nucleotides in length.
Source: RNAcentral